GGUUCGGUGGUGGAUGGUCCACACUUGCAGAAAUUCAGAAGUCUUCGAAACCUUUUCGCAAGCGUUGCGUGUUCGAAUCAUGCCCGAGCCA
Non-coding RNA from Mycena filopes, 91 nucleotides. NCBI's taxonomy places the organism in Eukaryota, Fungi, Basidiomycota, Agaricomycetes, Agaricales, Mycenaceae. The record is from the annotation of a GenBank genome assembly.